RNAcentral lists this transfer RNA (76 nucleotides) under bacterium. RNAcentral describes it as "tRNA-Ala". It matches the Rfam family "tRNA". Rfam says of the family: Transfer RNA (tRNA) molecules are approximately 80 nucleotides in length. Their secondary structure includes four short double-helical elements and three loops (D, anti-codon, and T loops). The record is from RNAcentral. RNAcentral also lists the same sequence under 2 other names.
GGGGGGUUAGCUCAGAUGGCAGAGUGGCGUCUUCGCAUGGCGCAGGUCGUGGGUUCGAUUCCCAUACCCUCCACCA